UGGUGGUGAUGAGGACAAAAAAUAAACAAGUAUUUAAAUCUAUCCCGAGCUUGGUAUAGAUUUUCUCCUCGUUUAUGUUUAAAACUCAAGAUCUCACUUCUAAGCUU
Molecule: small nucleolar RNA, 107 nt
Organism: Solanum dulcamara
Lineage: Eukaryota; Viridiplantae; Streptophyta; Magnoliopsida; Solanales; Solanaceae
Source: RefSeq, a predicted model, not a curated record